This 388-nucleotide ribosomal RNA is filed under the name uncultured bacterium. RNAcentral describes it as "bacterial SSU rRNA". It matches the Rfam family "Bacterial small subunit ribosomal RNA", at positions 28 to 417 of the family's 1533-position model. The record is from RNAcentral.
GACGAACGCUGGCGGCGUGCUUAACACAUGCAAGUCGAGCGGUAAGGCCCUUUCGGGGGUACACGAGCGGCGAACGGGUGGGUAACACGUGGGUGACCUGCCCUCAGCUCUGGGAUAAGCCUGGGAAACUGGGUCUAAUACUGGAUAUGACUCCACGGUGCAUGUCGUGGGGUGGAAAGCCUUGUGCGGCUGAGGAUGGGCCCGCGGCCUAUCAGCUUGUUGGUGGGGUGAUGGCCUACCAAGGCGACGACGGGUAGCCGGCCUGAGAGGGCGACCGGCCACACUGGGACUGAGACACGGCCCAGACUCCUACGGGAGGCAGCAGUGGGGAAUCUUGCGCAAUGGGCGAAAGCCUGACGCAGCGACGCCGCGUGAGGGAUGACGGCCU